UUUCCUACGGGAGGCAGCAGUCGGGAAUUUUGGGCAAUGGGCGAAAGCCUGACCCAGCAACGCCGCGUGAAGGAUGAAAUCCCUCGGGAUGUAAACUUCGCAAGAACGGGAAGAAUAAGUCGGUGUUAACACCACCGAUGAUGACGGUACUGUUUGUAAGCUCCGGCUAACUCCGUGCCAGCAGCCGCGGUAAUACGGGGGGAGCAAGCGUUGUUCGGAUUUACUGGGCGUAAAGGGCGCGUAGGCGGCCACCGCAAGUCGACUGUGAAAUCUCCGGGCUUAACCCGGAACGGUCAGCCGAUACUGCGGGGCUAGAGUGCAGAAGGGGCAACUGGAAUUCUCGGUGUAGCGGUGAAAUGCGUAGAUAUCGAGAGGAACACCUGCGGCGAAGGCGGGUUGCUGGGCUGACACUGACGCUGAGGCGCGAAAGCUAGGGGAGCGAACGGGAUUAGAUACCCCGGUAGUCCUAGCCUUAAACGAUGAAUGCUUGGUGUCUGGGGUUUUAUAGUCCCCGGGUGCCGUCGCUAACGCUUUAAGCAUUCCGCCUGGGGAGUACGGUCGCAAGACUGAAACUCAAAGGAAUUGACGGGGACCCGCACAAGCGGUGGAGCAUGUGGUUUAAUUCGACGCAACGCGAAGAACCUUACCUGGGCUAGAAUGCCUCUGACCGGCGUAGAGAUACGCCUUCCUGGGUAAAGCCAGGCAGAGUGCAAGGUGCUGCAUGGCUGUCGUCAGCUCGUGUCGUGAGAUGUUGGGUUAAGUCCCGCAACGAGCGCAACCCUUAUCAAUAGUUGCCAGCGGUUCGGCCGGGCACUCUAUUGAGACUGCCGUUGACAAAACGGAGGAAGGUGGGGAUGACGUCAAGUCCUCAUGGCCUUUAUGUCCAGGGCUACACACGUGCUACAAUGGCGAGUACAAAGCGCUGCAAACCUGCAAGGGGGAGCCAAUCGCAAAAAGCUCGUCUCAGUUCGGAUUGGAGUCUGCAACUCGACUCCAUGAAGCUGGAAUCGCUAGUAAUCGCAGAUGAGCAUGCUGCGGUGAAUACGUUCCCGGGCCUUGUACACACCGCCA
RNAcentral lists this ribosomal RNA (1071 nucleotides) under uncultured Acidobacteriota bacterium. RNAcentral's name for it is "bacterial SSU rRNA". It matches the Rfam family "Bacterial small subunit ribosomal RNA", at positions 335 to 1395 of the family's 1533-position model. Lineage: Bacteria; Pseudomonadati; Acidobacteriota. The record is from RNAcentral.